This 148-nucleotide non-coding RNA is filed under the name Burkholderia sp. RNAcentral's name for it is "Glycine sequence". It matches the Rfam family "Glycine riboswitch aptamer". From Rfam's summary of the family: This family represents the bacterial glycine riboswitch. Glycine riboswitches usually consist of two metabolite-binding aptamers domains with similar structures in tandem. The record is from RNAcentral. Lineage: Bacteria; Pseudomonadati; Pseudomonadota; Betaproteobacteria; Burkholderiales; Burkholderiaceae.
UUUUCGCACUCUGGAGAGCGGCAGUAGCCAUCCGCGUCGCACAUCGUGCACCGCAGGCAGGCUGCCCACCGAAGGGGCGCGCGUUCACCGUGACUGAUCAAAGUCACGGCAGCGCAAUCUCUCAGGUAUCGAGGACAGAGGGGUCAUG